This 978-nucleotide non-coding RNA is filed under the name Streptomyces afghaniensis 772. RNAcentral's name for it is "Bacterial small subunit ribosomal RNA". It matches the Rfam family "Bacterial small subunit ribosomal RNA", at positions 1 to 995 of the family's 1533-position model. The record is from Rfam by way of RNAcentral. Lineage: Bacteria; Bacillati; Actinomycetota; Actinomycetes; Kitasatosporales; Streptomycetaceae.
UUCACGGAGAGUUUGAUCCUGGCUCAGGACGAACGCUGGCGGCGUGCUUAACACAUGCAAGUCGAACGAUGAACCACUUCGGUGGGGAUUAGUGGCGAACGGGUGAGUAACACGUGGGCAAUCUGCCCUGCACUCUGGGACAAGCCCUGGAAACGGGGUCUAAUACCGGAUACAACCACUAGGGGCAUCUCUUGGUGGUGGAAAGCUCCGGCGGUGCAGGAUGAGCCCGCGGCCUAUCAGCUUGUUGGUGAGGUAAUGGCUCACCAAGGCGACGACGGGUAGCCGGCCUGAGAGGGCGACCGGCCACACUGGGACUGAGACACGGCCCAGACUCCUACGGAGGCAGCAUGGGGAAUAUUGCACAAUGGGCGAAAGCCUGAUGCAGCGACGCCGCGUGAGGGAUGACGGCCUUCGGGUUGUAAACCUCUUUCAGCAGGGAAGAAGCGAAAGUGACGGUACCUGCAGAAGAAGCGCCGGCUAACUACGUGCCAGCAGCCGCGGUAAUACGUAGGGCGCGAGCGUUGUCCGGAAUUAUUGGGCGUAAAGAGCUCGUAGGCGGCUUGUCACGUCGGUUGUGAAAGCCCGGGGCUUAACCCCGGGUCUGCAGUCGAUACGGGCAGGCUAGAGUUCGGUAGGGGAGAUCGGAAUUCCUGGUGUAGCGGUGAAAUGCGCAGAUAUCAGGAGGAACACCGGUGGCGAAGGCGGAUCUCUGGGCCGAUACUGACGCUGAGGAGCGAAAGCGUGGGGAGCGAACAGGAUUAGAUACCCUGGUAGUCCACGCCGUAAACGGUGGGCACUAGGUGUGGGCAACAUUCCACGUUGUCCGUGCCGCAGCUAACGCAUUAAGUGCCCCGCCUGGGGAGUACGGCCGCAAGGCUAAAACUCAAAGGAAUUGACGGGGGCCCGCACAAGCGGCGGAGCAUGUGGCUUAAUUCGACGCAACGCGAAGAACCUUACCAAGGCUUGACAUACACCGGA